ACGGGGACCCGCACAAGCAGCGGAGCGUGUGGUUUAAUUCGUUGCUACACGAAGAACCUUACCUGGGUUUGACAUAUAGGUUGUAGGGAACUGAAAGGGACCGACCUUCGGGGAGCCUAUACAGGUGUUGCAUGGCUGUCGUCAGCUCGUGUCGUGAGAUGUUCGGUUAAGUCCGCUAACGAGCGCAACCCUCGUCGUAUGUUAUAUGUGUCAUACGAGACUGCCGGUAAAAAGCCGGAGGAAGGUGAGGAUGAUGUCAAGUCAGCAUGACCUUUAUAUCCAGGGCUACACACACGCUACAAUGGUCUGUACAAUGGGUAGCCAAGCCGCGAGGCGGAGCCAAUCCUGAAAGCAGGCCUCAGUUCAGAUUGCAGUCUGCAACUCGACUGCAUGAAGCCGGAGUUGCUAGUAACCGCAGGUCAGCAAUACUGCGGUGAAUACGUUCCCGGGUCUU
This 454-nucleotide ribosomal RNA is filed under the name uncultured Anaerolineaceae bacterium. RNAcentral's name for it is "bacterial SSU rRNA". It matches the Rfam family "Bacterial small subunit ribosomal RNA", at positions 913 to 1382 of the family's 1533-position model. Lineage: Bacteria; Bacillati; Chloroflexota; Anaerolineae; Anaerolineales; Anaerolineaceae. The record is from RNAcentral.